This 497-nucleotide ribosomal RNA is filed under the name uncultured bacterium. Its description in RNAcentral is "partial 16S ribosomal RNA". It matches the Rfam family "Bacterial small subunit ribosomal RNA", at positions 28 to 507 of the family's 1533-position model. The record is from RNAcentral.
GAUGAACGCUGGCGGCGUGCCUAAUACAUGCAAGUCGAGCGAACAGAUGAGGAGCUUGCUCCUCUGACGUUAGCGGCGGACGGGUGAGUAACACGUGGAUAACCUACCUAUAAGACUGGGAUAACUUCGGGAAACCGGAGCUAAUACCGGAUAAUAUAUUGAACCGCAUGGUUCAAUAGUGAAAGACGGUUUUGCUGUCACUUAUAGAUGGAUCCGCGCCGCAUUAGCUAGUUGGUAAGGUAACGGCUUACCAAGGCAACGAUGCGUAGCCGACCUGAGAGGGUGAUCCGCCACACUGGAACUGAGACACGGUCCAGACUCCUAAGGGAGGCAACAGUAGGGAAUCUUCCGCAAUGGGCGGAAGCCUGACGGAGCAACGGCGCGUGGGUGAUGGAGGUCUUCGGAUCGUAAAACUCUGUUUUUAGGGAAAAACAAAUGUGGAAGGAACUAGGCACGUCUUGACGGUACCUAAUCAGAAAGCCACGGCUAACUACGUG